GAUGAACGCUAGCGAUAGGCUUAACACAUGCAAGUCGAGGGGCAGCACAAGGUAGCUUGCUAUCUGGGUGGCCACCGGCGCACGGGUGCGUAACGCGUAUGCAACGUGCCCUAUACAGGAGGAUAACCCGUCGAAAGACUAACGCAUACUGCGUAUGCUCACAACUUGGCAUCCAGCGGAGAGGAAAGUAACUCGGUAUAGGAUAGGCAUGCGUCCCAUUAGCUUGUUGGUGAGGUAACGGCUCACCAAGGCAACGAUGGGUAGCGGAACUGAGAGGUUUAUCCCCCGCACUGGUACUACGACACGGACCAGAAUCCUACGGGAGGCAGGAGUAAGGAAUAUUAGGCAAUGGACGCGAGCCUGAACAUGCCAAGUCGCGUGAAGGAUGCCUGUCUUAUGGAUUGUAUACUUCUUUUGUACGGGAAUAACAAGUGUAACGCGUGACUCCCUGAAGGUACCAAAUGAAUAAGCAUCGGCUAACUCCGUG
RNAcentral lists this ribosomal RNA (487 nucleotides) under uncultured bacterium. Its description in RNAcentral is "partial 16S ribosomal RNA". It matches the Rfam family "Bacterial small subunit ribosomal RNA", at positions 28 to 507 of the family's 1533-position model. The record is from RNAcentral.